GAUGAACGCUGGCGGUAUGCUUAACACAUGCAAGUCGAACGGACUCUCCGGAGUUAUUUGCGGUCGGGGGAGUAACGCGGGAGAAGCUGGCUUUGGGUUCGGGACAACCACUGUAAACGGUGGCUAAUGCCGGAUGGGCUGAGACGGAAUAGAAAAAUUGCCUGCAGAGGAGCGCGGGUCUGAUUAGCUAGUUGGUGAGUUAAAGGCCCACUAAUGCAGCGAUCAGUAGCUGCUCUGAGUGGAUGAGCAGCCACAGUGGGACUGAGACACGGCAGAGACGAAUACGGGAGGGAGGAGUGGAGAAUUGUACACAAUGGGCGAGAGUCUGACGGAGCCAUACCGCGUGAGAGAAGAGGGCUCUUGGGUUGAAAACCUGUUUCCUUAGAGAAGGACAAAAUGACGGUACCUAAUGAAUAAGCAUCGGCUAACUACGUG
Molecule: ribosomal RNA, 435 nt
Filed under: uncultured bacterium
Lineage: Bacteria
Description: partial 16S ribosomal RNA
Rfam family: Bacterial small subunit ribosomal RNA
Source: RNAcentral